CCCAUACUGGCAGACGCGGCAGGGAGCUUAGCGCGCUUUGGCGGUGGGCUUCUGCCGGUUCUUGUUAACGGACAGCGAUGCUGAAGGCUAAGAUCCUCUUCGUGGGUCCUUGCGAGAGUGGCAAAACAGUGCUCGCCAACUUUCUGACUGAAUCUUCAGACAUCACUGAAUACAACCCAACACAAGGUGUGAGGAUCCUAGAGUUUGAGAACCCACAUGUCACCAGCAACAACAAAGGCACAGGCUGCGAAUUUGAGCUCUGGGACUGUGGUGGUGACUCCAACAACAGUUCCUCCAAGACAGUCACUGCAUGCUUGUGGCCCACCACAAACCGGGGUCUGGAGGAGACAAGAGCAACCUGGCUUUGUCUCCCCCCUUGAACAAGUUGAAGCUGGUGCACUCAAAUCUGGAGGAAGACCCCGAGGAGGUCCGGGUGGAGUUCAUCAAGUAUUUAAAAAGCAUCAUCAACUCCAUGUCGGAGAGCAGAGACCGUGAGGAGAUGCUCAUCAUCACCUAAUGUCCCUGUGCCGCUGCCUCCCAAAGGACGCUGACCCCCCAGACAGAGCUGACGUCCCGCCCAGCCGCUGACAAGCCCUUCUCCUAUGGCUGCAGUUCCUUAUCUGCUAAGGGUCCAGGAAGAGUCAGGCAUGGUGGCACACGCCUGUGAUCCUAGCUCUGGAGAGGCUGAGGUAGGAGGAAGGUUGAGAGUUCAAGGCCAGCCUGGGCUACAUAGAGAGCCCUUAUCUCAUCCCAUCUGCAGAAGCCACCCUGCUUGCCUGUCUCAGCUGUCCUUCAUAAACAUAUCCUUCCGGCAGCCCUAGUACUGUAUUUUCAGGUUGAGCUAUUUACUGGUGAUUAAUGGGAUGAAGUGGCCCAAAGCAGAUUGAUGGCGUGAUCUCUGGGGUCCCCAAGUGCAGAAAGGGAACACGUGCUGUCAGAGAGUCAACAAUGGGGACAGUGAGAUGGUUCACUUGCUGCCAAGCCUGACAACCCAAACCCAAUGCCCAGAACCCACUUAAAGGCGGAAGGAGAGAUCCGACCCCACAGAGUAAUCCUCUGACCUGGAGAGAAGGAUCUGUGGGCAAGAGCUCAUGCUGAGGUCCUGGGUUCAGACUCCUGCACCCACACUGGGCAGCUAUGAUUGUAACUCUAGUUCCAGGAGAGCCAAAGCCUUCCUCUGGUCCCGGGGCACCUCCCCACAUACAGCACAUGCUCACACAGACUGCGUUAGACACGUUUCUGUUGCUAUAAUAAACACCCUGAUAAGACA
This 1270-nucleotide long non-coding RNA is filed under the name Rattus norvegicus (Norway rat). Its description in RNAcentral is "long non-coding RNA NONRATT007855". Lineage: Eukaryota; Metazoa; Chordata; Mammalia; Rodentia; Muridae. The record is from RNAcentral.